GUGUCGGAUACUGGGCGUAAGCGCGCGUAGGCGGCUUGUUAAGUGAGAAGUGAAAUCCCCAGGGCUCAACCCGGGAACUGCUUUUCAUACUGGCAAGCUAGAGGGAGGUAGAGGUGAAUGGAAUUCCCGGUGUAGCGGUGACAUGCAUAGAUAUCGGGAGGAACACCAGCAGCGAAGGCGGUUCACUGGACCUCUCCUGACGCUAAGGCGCGAAAGCGUGGGUAGCAAACAGGAUUAGAUACCCUGAUAGUCCACGCCCUAAACGAUGGAUACUAGACGUGAGAGGUAUCGACCCCUCUCGUGUCGCAGCUAACGCAUUAAGUAUCCCGCCUGGGGAGUACGGCCGCAAGGUUGAAACUCGAAUGAAUUGACGGGUCCCCGCACAAGCGGUGGAGCAUGUGGAUUAAUUCGAUACUAACCGAAGAACCUUACCCAGGUUUGACAUCAAAGGAAAGCCCAUGAAAGUGGGCCCCCUAGCCACAAGCUAGUGCCUGAAGACACCUGUUGCAUGGCUGUCGUCAGCUCGUGCCGUGAGGUGUAUGGUUAAGUCCAUCAACGAGCGCAACCCUCGUCCAAUGUUACCAGCGAUUCAAGUCGGGGACUCAUUGGAGACCGCCGGUGUAAGCCGGAGGAAGGUGGGGAUGACGUCAAGUCAGCAUGGCGGUUACGCCUGGGGCUUCACACAUGCUACAAUGGGCGAAACAAAGGGCAGCAACAUCGCGAGAUAGAGCUAAUCCCAAAAAUACGCCCCCAGUUCAGAUAGCAGUCUGCAACUCGACUGCUUGAAAGCGGAAUCGCUAGUAAACGCAGUCAGCUAUACUGCGUUGAAUACGUUCCCGGGGA
This 843-nucleotide ribosomal RNA is filed under the name uncultured bacterium. Its description in RNAcentral is "bacterial SSU rRNA". It matches the Rfam family "Bacterial small subunit ribosomal RNA", at positions 542 to 1380 of the family's 1533-position model. The record is from RNAcentral.